AGAACACCAAUGGCGAAGGCAGGUCUCUGGGCCGUUACUGACGCUGAGGAGCGAAAGCGUGGGGAGCGAACAGGAUUAGAUACCCUGGUAGUCCACGCCGUAAACGGUGGAUGCUGGAUGUGGGGCCCGUUCCACGGGUUCCGUGUCGGAGCUAACGCGUUAAGCAUCCCGCCUGGGGAGUACGGCCGCAAGGCUAAAACUCAAAGAAAUUGACGGGGGCCCGCACAAGCGGCGGAGCAUGCGGAUUAAUUCGAUGCAACGCGAAGAACCUUACCUGGGCUUGACAUGUUCCCGACGGUCGUAGAGAUACGGCUUCCCUUCGGGGCGGGUUCACAGGUGGUGCAUGGUCGUCGUCAGCUCGUGUCGUGAGAUGUUGGGUUAAGUCCCGCAACGAGCGCAACCCUCGCCCCGUGUUGCCAGCGGAUUAUGCCGGGAACUCACGGGGGACCGCCGGGGUUAACUCGGAGGAAGGUGGGGAUGACGUCAGAUCAUCAUGCCCCUUACGUCCAGGGCUUCACGCAUGCUACAAUGGCCGGUACAACGGGAUGCGACGCGGCGACGCGGAGCGGAUCCCUGAAAACCGGUCUCAGUUCGGAUCGCAGUCUGCAACUCGACUGCGUGAAGGCGGAGUCGCUAGUAAUCGCGAAUCAGCAACGUCGCGGUGAAUGCGUUCCCGGGCCUUGUACACACCGCCCGUCAAGUCAUGAAAGUGGGCAGCACCCGAAGCCGGUGGCCUAACCCCUUGUGGGAUGGAGCCGUCUAAGGUGAGGCUCGUGAUUGGGACUAAGUCGUAACAAGGUAGCCGUACCGGAAGGUGCGGCUG
RNAcentral lists this ribosomal RNA (823 nucleotides) under human gut metagenome. RNAcentral describes it as "bacterial SSU rRNA". It matches the Rfam family "Bacterial small subunit ribosomal RNA", at positions 703 to 1520 of the family's 1533-position model. The record is from RNAcentral.